UUAUAAUCCCCCCCCCCCCUUUUUUUUGCCUUCUAACUCAAAACCGUGUCGAUAUGUGUGGCGCGUUGGACGCGACUUCGUGUGCGGGGCGUUAUACAUUUUAUCUGCAGAUUCAUAAAAAAUGUUGACAAAUACUUGUCGGUUAUGAUUAGUCUUUAAAACCAGGUAUUUGCUACUUACUUUGUGUCUUCCGAGCUCAUCAUCAACCGGCUUUCGACCGUCCUAUCCGGAAGAAAAUCCAGACCACUGUAUGCCGAAGUCAUGUUAACGAGCUACGGUACAAGCCAACACGCCGUCGUCUUUCAACAAUGAAAGUAACGGCUUUGAGAUUCAACUGCUGCGCGACCACAAAACGGAGCCAGGGAGAGGGGGGGCCUUCUACUCUAAGCAGCAGAAUGCGAGUACUAAGUCAUCAGAAGCGAUUGACAUUCGUCUUCUGCAUCCCCCAGCUAAUUUCUCCUCCAAUCGCCAAAUUGAAAAAGAAACUACAGGCGAGCUGUCAACUGCAGGGUGAGCAAGAGAGAGAGGCGUGACUACUUCUGUUCCCUGUCAAGGAGAUGCAACUUUCCCGAUCCCUGUGGACCAAUACAUCAGUAUUGUGUAUUCACAAUACAUUGGUUUUGAGUCAUGUAAUAUAAGAAUGUAAAUGUAUUUAUUCACAUUUGAUUUGAUGAUAACUUCAAUCAACAGGAUCAAUAUGCAAGUUUUUGAAGAUGACUGAAGGGGGUGGAUUUUGGGCAGGGGGAGAUUUUCCCCCAGAUCACAAGAUAGCUUGUAUCUCUUUUCCUUUCAGUGAAAAACAUACACAUCACAAAUCUACUCUAACCCACCAUGGCAUGAGAAUGAAUAGUUCAACUGAAAACAAUGAAUUGGUCCUAUAACAAUAUCCGUUAUUCACCACCACAGGGACAAAUAAUCAUUAUAAACACUGGCUAAAGCCCCAACCCCAACCACAACAAAAGCCAGCCAGGCUAGAUCUGACUCAUUCAUUCUGAAUGAGGGGCCAACCCAACAUCAAGGACAAUGUACCUCAGAGAUCCUAGGUCCUCAUUCCUGACGGGGACACCGGCGGCGGAGGCAGAGGGGGGACAGCGCAUGCCGUUGACGUAUAUGCUCUGCACCAGGGCUAGCUCCGACGAGUGUUCCAACAUCGCACGGUACUCUUCCAGAAAAAUCCACCUUCUUAUGUGUGUUAAAUGGACACUUCUCUUCUUCUCACUAUUUCUCCCUCUCGCCUCUCUAUCUGGGUAGCUUUUUUCUCUCUCUCUAUUUCUCUCUCUCUAGUUCUCUCUGUUUUUUACUCCCGCCCCUCUCUUUCUCUCCUCAGAUUUAGUGCAGUCGAGCGGCACACACCCCUUUUGCUGACUGGCGUAGCUGAAAUAAUCCUUUUUGACAGCUCAUCGUGGGCUAAUGCAUUGUGCAGCCCGCGGCAGACCGGUUCGCAGGCUGCAAAGCUGCGGCCACAGUAGUACUCUUCCUCUAAUUGACACCCAUAUUAGGAAGAGUCCAGGAAAUUGGACACGGGUGAUUUAUUCCUACUGUCAGACUGGGCAGACUGGGAUGCAUGGGGAAACGUCUGCAAAGUUUGCCAGUGGAUCUCUGGAUCUGUUUCUUUCUCAGGUCCUGGGAUUGAGUGGGUUGUGGUAUGAUCCCUGUUUCAAUGUUUUGCAUGUAUUUGAAUGCUUGGAUACAGGAGAAAUACAGGCCAAAUGUAGGUCGAUACCAGGUGUUGUUGUUACAAAGGAAAUACUGUACAUACAGGCUAAACCUCAGGUACUGCACUUGUGGCAGGAAUCAUAGUGUGUUCCAACCAAAGUCUGUGUCAAGCAGGGGAAUCAAUCCAACAAGCAAAGCACCACGCCCUUUUUAGAACAGAUGCAUGAAUUUGUAUGUAAAAAACUGGAUUCUGAAGUGUCAAAUUUCAAAUGUUGAAAUUAUUUAAAUGUUCUAACAACUCCAUCUACUAACUCUGCAGUUACAUGCAGAUCUUUUGGUCGAGAUUUCAUCCCUGAAAACGCCAAAUAUUUAACACUAGGAAACAUUUAUUGGGGCACGGCUUUUAUCCAAAACCCUUAUCCAGUCCAGUCAUACCAUCACUUUCUGAAUAAUCUUCUUUUGGACAGGAGGAUGCGCAUAUGUCACAUUCUUCACAUUCCCUGGACUGACUGAUGAUAAACCAGAGGAUGAGAAGAGGGAGGGGAGAGGGGUACAGGGAGCGACAGAGGAGAGACACAGAGAGGGGGUGAUGGAGACCUUUGUGAGAGGGGGAGACAGAGCCAACCCUGUCUACCUCUGUACCCUCCCUCCAACUACAGUACAGUAUGUUGUCAUUAUUACACUGGUGCAGAGGUGGAUAGCAUAGCUUGCUGUAUGUUUAGUCAGUAAGAAGAAAUUCUGGUAAGCAUGGCUAUCUUUUAAUAAAGGAAGGAUUACGCUAGUCUCCUCUCUGAUGGCAUUUUGUUUGCAUGUUGAGCCUAACAUGAACAGAAAUCUCUCUGCAACACUUUGCUAUAUGAAAUAUAGCCCCAUUUUACGUUCCAAAUGGCACCCUCUUCCCAUAUAGUGCACUACUUUUGAUCAGAGCCCUAUAGGCCCUGGUCAAAAGUAGUGCACUAGAAAUGGAAUAGGGUGCCAUUUGGGAUAAACUCAUUAUCAUAUCCCAUGGCAGUGUAGCAUAUUAGUUGUUUGACCAUGUCAAAUACUAGUGUGGUCAGUUGUCAUAUCUGUUUGUAGUAUAGCCAACGGUUCUUCUAACGUGCGUCUAUUGUCUUGUUUGGCAUGACAACACACGGUAGAGACGUUGGCUAUAGCACAAACAGUUCUGGUAACUAGGCCAGUCAAAUGCAUUCUCAACUACUUCACAUAAGACACACACACACACACACACUUGAAGGGCAGUUUUACAUAAAGUGUUGUCACAGACCCUGGAGCCAUUGGCCACCAUCAACUGACAACAGGAACCAAAACAUGAAGAGGCAUACCCUUAUGUCGUUUCAAAUUACUGCCCUAAUUUGCAUAGCUUAUACACCUACAAUAGAGUUACCAAAAUUAAAAGUAUGGCAUGCAGUGAGAUAAUUUCCUGUUUAUAACUUUAUGUAGUUUAAAACUACUGCUUUAGUACCAUAAUUUGCAUGGCAACUCAUCAUAGUCCAUCCAAACUACACCACAGUGCUGUCAAAGUGAAGAGUAUGGCAGGAGUACAGUAGGCAGAGGAAAUAAACUAGAAAAUAUUUCACUAUGGCAUGCUGCCAUAUGACUUCCUGUUGAUGCGUAUAGUUCCUCUUUUUAUUCCAGGUACAUAAAGAAACAACCUAGUGUUUCAGUCUUACAACUUUAAGAUGAGAUUUGCUCUGUAAUACCCUUCUCGGACUCUGAGAGCCCAGGAGAAAAUAAAUCUAGGCCUCCGACCCCCAUAGGCGUUCUCUCUUGCUCUCUCUCUCUUUCUCAUUCUCUCUCUCUGACUUUAAGUAGGAAAGUCAUUUGAAACAGGGUCAUGUAUGCUGUGCAGUAUAUGUGGGUGUGUGUGCUGCAUGUGUGCCGAGCGGGUAUCAUAGGGGAUAAGACUGACAUGGUGAAUGGGAUCCUCUGAUCUGAGCGUAAAUCCCUCUGGUUUCAGCCUUGCUCUUUCUUGCACACUUAGUUUCCGCUGACAUAAAUAUUUUAACGCUGAUGUUGAAACCCUAGCUAGUCUUUGUGAUGUGUUGCUGCACCAUAUAAAGCAGAGAGCAACUAAAGUUAUUGUGUUCUUGCACUAAGUGAACUUACAGUAUCUCCUGAAAUACCUCUGAUCCAAGUGAUACAUUCAACAGUAGGCUUGAUUCUAAUGGACGAAAAUUGAUUUUGAAAGUGAAGCUGUAUCUAUUACAGAAACAUUGAAGUUAAAUUAUUCAGGAACUAACAUCCAUUUCAAACAAAACACUUUCCAGAAGGUGAAUAGAAUCUGAAAGGGAAGACUACACAUCUGUAAACCAACCACAUGUGCUAGGCUACUGAAAGACACGUGAAAGGGUUUGAGACCUCUUGUCUGUCAGUCUCUCUCUCACUCUUUCGUUCUCACUCACGUGCUGCCCAUGACCCAAAGUGACAGUCGGUUUGUCUGGUGACUCAAUGUUCACUAGCACUGCAGAAAGACUUUUAUGAAACCGGAAAACAACUACCAGCAUCUUUCUACGGUCAGAAUGUGAAACUGCUGUCUGUCUGUCUUGUUUUGUUGAAACCUCCAUGCAUUCUUUUGUGAAAAUGAAACCUCCAUCCAUAGGCUUUGGUUCUGGGUGUUGGAGGUGUCUGAUAGCUUUCAUUGUGUAAUCUCAAAUCAAAUUGCAUUGGUCACAUAAACAUAUUUAGCAGAUGUUAUUGCUGGUGUAGCGAAAUGCUUGUGUUCCUAGCUCCAACAGUGCAGUAGUAUCUAAUAGUGCAGUAGAAUCAAAAAAUUAUUCACAAUACACACACAUCUAAAAGAAUGGAAAUGGGUUGGCGCCCCCCCUUGGGUUGUGCCGUGGCGGAGAUCUUUGUGGGCUAUACUCUGCCUUGUCUCAGGAUUAUAUCCUGCCUGUUUGGCCCUGUCCGGGGGUAUCAUCGGAUGGGGCCACAGUGUCUCCUGUCUCAGCCUCCAGUAUUUAUGCUGCAGUAGUUUGUGUUGGGGGCUAGGGUUAGUCUGUUAUAUCUGGAGUAUUUCUCCUGUCCUAUCCGGUGUCCUGUGUGAAUUUAAGUAUGCUCUCUCUAAUUCUCUAAUCUCUUUCUUUCUCGGAGGACCUGAGUCCUAGGACCAUGCCUCAGGACUACCUGACAUGAUGGCUCCUUGCUGUCCCCAGUCCACCUGGCUGUGCUGCUGCUCCAGUUUCAACUGUUCUGCCUGCGGCUAUGGAACACUGACCUGUUCACCGGACGUGCUACCUGUCUCAGACCUGCUGUUUUCAACUCUCUAGAGACAGCAGGAGUGGUAGAGAUACUCUCAAUGAUCGGCUAUGAAAAGCCAACUGACAUUUACUCCUGAGGUGCUGACUUGUUGCACCCUCGACAACUACUGUGAUUAUUAUUAUUUGACCAUGCUGGUCAUUUAUGAACAUUUGAACAUCUUGGCCAUGUUCUGUUAUAAUCUCCACCCGGCACAGCCAGAAGAGGAUUGGCCACCCCUCAUAGCCUGGUUCCUCUCUAGGUUUCUUCCUAGGUUUUGGCCUUUCUAGGUUGUUUUUCCUAGCCACCAUGCUUUUACACCUGCAUUGCUUGCUGUUUGGGGUUUUAGGCUGGGUUUCUGUACAGCACUUUGAUAUAUCAGCUGAUGUGAGAAGGGUUAUAUAAAUUUGAUUUGAUGAGAAAUAUUUGCAUAUUGGAUCAAGCAAUGUCGGAGUGGCAUUGACUAAAAUACAGUAGAAUAGAAUACAGUAUAUACAUAUGAGUUGAGUAAAGUAGUUUGUAAACAUAUUUAAAGUGACUAGUGUUCCAUUAUUAAAGUGGCCAGUGAUUUCAAGUCUAUCUAUAUAGGGCAGCAGACUAAGGUGCAGGGUUGGGUAACCGGGUGGAAGCCGACUAGUUAUGGCUAUUUACCAGUCUGAUGGCCUUAAGAUAGAAGCUGUUUUUCAGUCUCUCGGUCCCAGCUUUGAUACACCUGUACUGACCUCGCCAUCUGGUUGAUAGCAUGAUGAACAGGCUGUUGCUCGGGUGGUUGAUGUCCUUGAUGAUCCUUCCUGAGACAUAGGUGUCCUGCUGUAGGUGUCCUGGAGGGCAGAUAGUUUGCCCCCGGUGAUGCAUUAGGCAGACCGCACCACCCUCUGGAGAGCCCUGCGGUUGCGGGCGGUGCAGUUGCCGUACCAGGCGGUAGGAUGCUCUCAAUUGUGCAUCUGUAGAAAUUUGUGAGGGUUUUAAGAGCCAAGCCAAAUUUCUUCAGCCUCCUGGGAUUGAAGAGGAGAGAGAGAGAGAGGAGAGGGGGGGUGGGAGAAAUCUUAACCACCCAGCACCAUAAGAGAAAUUUGGCUAAGAUUAUCAACAGGACUAGGCAGUCAUGGUCAUCACGAGAGGAGGAGAUCAUGUACCGGUCUACUGUCUCAUAUAUCACACCAGAGAGGAUACAGUUUGCUUGUAAAAAAGGAUUUGCACGACAUCUACAUUAUUACUACAUUAGCAGGGAAGAGCUUGUAUAAGUCCAGUUUAAUUUCAAAUGCCAAACUUGUGCACAAAAUGUUUGCUUGCACUUAACUCUGUACAUAUAAUGCUGCAUGGCCUUUUAUGAGUAUGUAUGAGCCUACCACACUUUCUUACAAAGGCUGUUGUAUAAACUUUGUUACAUAUUGAAAUAUUUGUGUAAUGUUGAAUGAAUGCAUUGUGUUGCAUAACCUGAUAAAGCUAGCAGAGAGCCAUGAAA
Oncorhynchus kisutch (coho salmon) is the source of this 6358-nucleotide long non-coding RNA. RefSeq lists it as uncharacterized. The record is from RefSeq and is a predicted model, not a curated record. Lineage: Eukaryota; Metazoa; Chordata; Actinopteri; Salmoniformes; Salmonidae. The transcript has 2 exons.